Long non-coding RNA from Ictalurus punctatus (channel catfish), 302 nucleotides. Lineage: Eukaryota; Metazoa; Chordata; Actinopteri; Siluriformes; Ictaluridae. The record is from Ensembl.
GCGAGCCCUGCAGAAAUGUCUCCGGGCCACUGAUUAAUUAAACCCUGAUGGAGCCGAGGAGCAAUGACUCGAGUCGAGACUGCAGUGAGCGAGACCGGGACCACUUUAAUCGCUUGGACCGACGGGACGGUCGUGAGGACCAAGACCGAGGGCUGGACAGGACGCGUGUCCCCGUCAUUAAACGCAGCUUCAGCAGGGAGAGUGAGGACCGGUCUCGAGCCGGAGACGUGCGCCGUGUCUCCAGUAUGACGGACGAGAGAGAACGCAGGAGCCGAGACCGGACUGCCAGCCAAGAGACCGCA